RNAcentral lists this unclassified non-coding RNA (293 nucleotides) under Hevea brasiliensis (rubber tree). The record is from RNAcentral. Lineage: Eukaryota; Viridiplantae; Streptophyta; Magnoliopsida; Malpighiales; Euphorbiaceae.
GAUGAUGACGAUGACGAUGACGAUCAUAAAAUGGAAGCUUUGCCUUUGCUGUGGCUGAUUGUCCGGAUCAUUUUGUGCUUGUGUAUUUUGUUUUUACUUCUUACACUGUUCCUGCGAUUAUUCUAUCCUCCUACCCAUGUGAAUUAUUAUUAAGAUUAUAAGAAAGUCGCCAAUUAAGGAAGAUAGUAAAGAAUGUUAUUUGGGUAAUAUGUUGCACUAGAGCAGAUACUUAGCAGCCUAUAACGGCAUAUGUACAUGGCAUGUAAUAUCUUUUUAGUUUAAUUCACACUUAU